UGGGGAAUUUUGCACAAUGGGCGCAAGCCUGAUGCAGCGACGCCGCGUGAGGGAUGAAGGCCUUCGGGUUGUAAACCUUUUUCGCUCAUGGUCAAGCCGCAGCUUUGGGUUGUGGUGAGGGUAGUGGGUAAAGAAGCGCCGGCUAACUACGUGCCAGCAGCCGCGGUAAUACGUAGGGCGCGAGCGUUGUCCGGAAUCACUGGGCGUAAAGGGUUCGCAGGCGGAAUAACAAGUCAGAUGUGAAAGGCAUGGGCUCAACCCAUGUAAGCAUUUGAAACUGUAAUUCUUGAGAAGUGGAGAGGUAAGUGGAAUUCCUAGUGUAGCGGUGAAAUGCGUAGAUAUUAGGAGGAAUACCUGUGGCGAAGGCGACUUACUGGACACAAAUCUGACGCUGAGGAACGAAAGCGUGGGUAGCAAACAGG
Molecule: ribosomal RNA, 422 nt
Filed under: Verrucomicrobiota bacterium
Lineage: Bacteria; Pseudomonadati; Verrucomicrobiota
Description: Verrucomicrobia bacterium partial 16S ribosomal RNA
Rfam family: Bacterial small subunit ribosomal RNA
Source: RNAcentral